RNAcentral lists this ribosomal RNA (517 nucleotides) under Spergo fusiformis. RNAcentral's name for it is "partial large subunit ribosomal RNA". It matches the Rfam family "Bacterial large subunit ribosomal RNA", at positions 1809 to 2605 of the family's 2925-position model. Lineage: Eukaryota; Metazoa; Mollusca; Gastropoda; Neogastropoda; Raphitomidae. The record is from RNAcentral.
CAAAACAUGGCUUCUCGAAUUUAGUUUAUGUGAAGUCGUACCUGCCCAGUGAAGUUUUAACGGCCGCGGUACUCUGACCGUGCAAAGGUAGCAUAAUAAUUUGCCUUAUAAUUGAAGGCUGGAAUGAAUGGUUUGUCAAGGAUAAAACUGUCUCUAUAAAAUUUCAUAGAAUUUUAUUUUUAGGUGAAAAAGCCUAAAUUUUAUUAAAAGACAAGAAGACCCUAUCGAGCUUUAAAAAACUUGAUAAAUAUUAACAACUAAUUAGAAGUUUAAUUAUAAAAAAUUUUGGUUGGGGCAACCUAGGAGUAAAUAAAGCCUCCUUUAUUAAAAAAACUGCUUUGUUAGGAUCCAAAAAUUUUGAUCAAAAGAAAUAGUUACCGUAGGGAUAACAGCAUUAUUUUUUUUGAGAGCUCUUAUCGAAAAAAAAGUUUGUGACCUCGAUGUUGGACCAGAAUAUCCUGAAGAUGUAGAAGUCUUCAAGGGUUGGUCUGUUCGACCAUUAAAAUUCUACGUGAUC